Molecule: long non-coding RNA, 4440 nt
Organism: Loxodonta africana (African savanna elephant)
Lineage: Eukaryota; Metazoa; Chordata; Mammalia; Proboscidea; Elephantidae
Exons: 2
Source: RefSeq, a predicted model, not a curated record
UUAAAGCAUCACCUGGAAUCAACUGGGCCAUCACCACCAAUUAUGCUCGUCUGGAAAUAUCAAGGCUUAAAGGCUGGCUUUGGCCACCAAAGAGAGGAAACAUUCGGCAAUCCCUGAAAAUGCACAGUUGAGGAGGGGAGGCGGGGAGAGCUGUUUGAGCCUUGUACUACAAAGUCAAAAGGGAAAACAUGUGUUUCCCAUUUGUCUUGGGAUGGGAAAGAAAAACUUUUCCUUUCGCUUAAUCUUGUUUUAAACAAACAGAGAGACUGCCCUUUUUGUAAACCCGCCGAACGUCAAAUAUUGGUCAGUAACGUGGCAUCAGCUUACUAAGCCACUACGAGGCCACUCUCCUCACGUAAUCCCGUCAAUUAAAAGGUACAUUGUCUUGAAGAGAGACGACUCCAAUCAUACACAUUUCCUCUGAUGAUUGUACAAGAGUCAACCGUUGGAGUCCCAUUUCAAAAUCUAUAACCCCUGGUUUCAGCCAGAGGCCCCAGGCGAUGGGCUUCCACUCAUGACUCAGGAGUUUGUGAGUGAAAGCAAGCACGUCAAGUGAUGUAAGAAAAUUCCCCGGCUCCCCAUCCCCGGGGAAUUCGUGGUAGGGGGGUGUCCUGGGUGCUGAGUCGCCCGCCUACCACCAUGGCAGGCAGCGUCAGCGCCUGACAAAGGAAGUAUUCAGUUACAAUGACUUUCCUGUUGGCCCGUGUGCUCAGAUAAUUGCUUCUCAAUGUGUGUGAGAACCUCCUAAAGUAAACCAAGGAACUGAGGGGCCAGAUCUGGGCUGAAGGGAAAUGGGGGGGGGGGGGGGAAGGAGGGUAGUAAGUGAUGCAAGUCUUCCUUUGAAGUCACUUUGUUUGUGAAAAGUCUGCUGUCCUCUCAGAAGGAAACUCCAAUGGAAUGAGAUUUCUGUGCUUGUGGGGUUGAGGGCUAUUGUUUUUGGCCCCAGUGUUCACCUCAAGCCCUAGCUAGGACAUGCACAAAUCCGCUAACAACAGCCUGACAAGAAAUUGCUCACCUCUCCUUGCAUCAGGGGACUUUUACUCAGGCUGCUUCUGAAUGCCUCAUUGUCUAAUAGGGCAGGAAGUUUGCUCUCAAUGUAAAUGAGGACUCUUUCACCUCUUUUUACCUCCUUGGAAGAUUUCUACAGCGGCUGCCUGCCCGUCCCCAGUCUGGCUCGCUGAAGGUUGCCUCAGAGCUCGUUCAUGUUCUUCCGUGUUCUGUGAGAGCAGAAGGGCAGCUGCAUCCCAGCCAUGGGUUGCGCAGCUUCCUUCUCAGAGGGAACUUUUCCUCAGACUUUUCCCUGGAGAUGACACUGGGUGAUGGGCUAACAGCUGCCCAGGGACAGGGAAGACUUGAAUUUUCUGGAGAGGGCUGGAUUUUCUCUUUUCAGUCUCUUUAUUCUGAUCUGGACCUGAGUUUAUUUAUUACACGCACACACACACACACACACACACACACACACACACACAGAAGAUCCAUCCCCAAACCUUAUAAUGUUCUUUUCUUAGGAUACAUCACAUGGUGACCAGCUUGUACUUGGAGCAUCAAGCUAGGACUUGAAGUAAAAAUGUGUCAGACUAACCAGCAUCAGCAAGAAGAGGCCUGAUUCAGAACCAUGACCUCCUUCCAUCUGAGCAGAUCCCUGAGGAGCCUAAGAACACCUAGAAAAAGACUUGUGGACUCUCCUUUCCUCCCCAAUCUCACUCCACUCUUGCUUGACAAUGGGAGCAGUGGUGGUUCAGUGGUAGAGUUCUCACUUUCCAUUUGGGAGACCUGGGUUCAAUUCUCAGCCAAUGUACCUCAAACACAGCCACCACCCAUCUAUCAGUGGAGGCUUGUGUGUUGCUAUGAAGUUGAAUAGGCUUCGGUGGAGAUUCCAGACUAAGACACACUAGGAAAAAAGGCCUAGCAAUCUACUUCUAAAAACCAGCCAGUGAAAACCCUAGUUGCCCAACUUGAAGAACAUAACCAAUGGCACUAAAUUGUAAGUGUAGAAACUGUUGAAUUGGUAUAUGUUUUGCUGAGUAUAUUCUCAAUAACAACAACAACAACAAAAAAAAAAAAAUAGAAAAGAAAAUCUUAUGGAUCAAAAUGGCCUGAUCCCAUUGAACAUGGGGCCAACAUGAGUGGGGGGCCAACUCUAGGCAGCUAACAACUCUCUUGACAAAGCUCCAACAGACACAAGAAGGACCCUUGCAACUUGCUGUGAUGCCCUCAGUUGAAAGACUGGGUGAAGAGACCCUCAAAGGGAGAAACAGUUCACAGAUAUAACAGCUUAAUUAGAGGAGCAGGAUGAAGAUGAUGAAGAGAGUCCCUGGAUGAUGCACGCAAUUAACGUGCUUGGCCACUGACUGAAACGUUGGAGAUUCCAGUCCACCCCGAGCCAUCUCAGAAAAAAGGCCUGGAGAGCUACUUAGAAAAAUCAGCCACUGAAAACUUUAUGGAGCACAGAUCUACUCUGACACACACGGGGUCACCAUGAGUCAGAAUCAAUUUGGCGGCAACUGGAAAUAUGCAUGUGCAUACACGCAUGUAUAUGUAUGUACGUACAUGUGUGCACAUGUAUAUAGUGUGUAUAUAUGUGUGUUUUCGUUUGUGCCAGGUCAGGUACGAUUAACCAAGGAGUAUCGCCCUCACUCCUGGUGAGAGAGUCUCAAACCUGAUUUCGCAUUAGAAUCACCUGGAGAGCUUCAUCAACAGCACGUGACCCCUGGUGUGUCCUCCGGUUAGGGCUGGGCUGGGCCGGGCCUUGGGCACAGGUAUCUUUGAAGCUCCUCAGGUGAUUUUACUGGGCAGCAUCCAGUGAACUAGGCCAGGCCUCUAACACAGUCUCCCUAACACAGUCCGCAAGAUUGAGCCAUACUUCCUAACUCCUCAUACAACAUCCCCCUUCCUUGGGCCCUUGUACUUCUCUUCUCUCCCUGUUCUCAACCCCUGGCUGCUGGCCUCAGCCCCUGCUGAGUUUGGGGUCUUUCCUUCCUUGGUUUCCUGCCUUUUGACUCUGGAAUCUCCCACUGUCUCAAGUGAGGCCUUUUGCUCAAGCACUGGCCUCUGUGGAUACCCCCUCCUUGGCCCAUUAAGUCAAUGAGAAGAAAGGAUUCAAAAGACAAAAUAAGAGAGAACAACUUGAGCAGGGCGAGGCUUUGCCAUAGUCGAGAGAAGCCAACCAGUCUUUCAGCUGUCCACAGAGCUACACAUGGGUAAUCGAGAAUAUUCUUCCCAUUUCACAUAUCAGGGGAACUGAGACCACAUCCCCAGGAAUUAGAGUUUCAUGUCUGCAUCUGAGACUCCCACCACUAUCUGUCAGUCUAUUGUACCGUGGUGGCUUACAUAUUGCUGUGGUGCUGGAAGCCAUGCCACCAGUAUUUCGAAUACCAGCAGGGUCACCAAUGGUGGCCAGGUUUCAGUGGAGCUUCCAGCCUAAGACAGACAAGGAAGAAAGACCUGGCAAUCUACUUCUGAAAAUUAGCCAACGAAAACCUUAUGGAUUACAACAGAAUAUUGUCAGACUUACUUGCUUUGGACAUGUCAUCAGAGGGAUCAAUCACUGGAGGAAGACAUAAUGUUUGGUGAAGUACAAAAACUGGGAGACACCUGGUGAGAUGGAUUGGCACAAUAGCUGCAACGAUGGACUUGAACAUGCCAGGAAUUGUGAGGAUAAUGCAGGACUGGGCAAUUAUUCUUUCUGUUGUUCAUAAGGUGGCCAUGAGUCAGAGUCUGUCUACCUACCUACCCACUAUCUAUCUAUCUAUCAAAACCCCUGAGCCCUAGGGCCCCUGUAAAUGCUACAACUUGGUUGCCUCUGAAAGCAGAGCCUAGAAGUCUGGAAUGGGUUUAAAAAUCCUCCAAUCUGUGAAUAUUACUAUAGCAAAAAAAGUUUUCCCUAAAAUGGCCAAAAGUAUAAUUUAACAUUUUAAGUCACUCCUUUGUAUUUAAUAGAAAUGACCUGUGUUUGUAACACGUAUGGUCCUUCUUAUACAAUGAAGUGGGAAACCCCAUGCCGCUUGGCUGGGCCAUUCCUCAGUGAGUCUGCAUCCCGGCUUCACAAGGGCUUGGUCCAAAUCCAUCCUGAGCAAAGGUACUACGUGCGGAAAUCUUCAGGGCCUGGGGCCUCACACAGAGCUUGGCAUUGAUGCUCAGCAAACUUCUAAAGGAGCAGAAUAUCAGGUCUAUAGCUUCAGGGUGCAUCCCCAACCUAAUCUGAUUCUGGAAAUUCAAACGACUGAAUUCAGAAAAAGGUGGCCUGAUGACUACAAAACCCCUCUCAGAGAACACAGCAGUGGCAGAAAGAACCAAGGAGAUGCAGAGAUUGGCAGAUGUACAGUGUCCCCUGGGAACAGCUUCAGUGUCACCACAGAAAUAGGGUCCAGGGCCUUCCUUUCCACAGAGAAAGCCACAUGGUUGAUGAGGUUAUAAACCAGGAACCCUCUGGGCUUUUCA